This 4787-nucleotide long non-coding RNA is filed under the name Daucus carota (carrot). RNAcentral describes it as "long non-coding RNA (DCAR_LNC005794)". The record is from RNAcentral. Lineage: Eukaryota; Viridiplantae; Streptophyta; Magnoliopsida; Apiales; Apiaceae.
AUCCAUGACACUUUCUGGAACACCAUGAUUCACAACUCGAAAAAAUCCCCAGUUCUCACAAGCAUCUCUAACUUCUUUAACAACUCUGCCACGCGAACUCUCAUCGAUAUCAAUAUUUUUCAAGUCUAUGCUUGGAAAACCAGAUUUGCUGUGCCUUGAAGAUGGAAUUUGACUUAUUUGAGCUUGAUUAUGUACAAAUAUUCGAGGGAUUUUGGUGACACCGGAGUCUACAAGUCCCUUUACACCAGCUUUUGUAUCAUCAAAAGCUUUUAACUCACUUUGUCGAUCAUAUCCUUGUUUCUCCAUUGUUUUGGUAGCUCAAAUGUUGUGACUACUGAGCUAAAAUAGUGAGCAGAUAAGAUGAUGUGGCGCGAUGUGGACGCAUUUUUUCCUGUAUGACAAGGAAAAAUUUAAUCAAUACUUAUCAACAACGUCACUGCCUCCGUCACUUUUUGGUCAUAUGUUAUAAUCAUAUUAUUAAUUUGGAAUCUCUAGAGCCUGAUCUGCAGUAAUGGAGGAAGCCAUUAAGCCCUUAUGAAUACGAGUAUGAUACAUAAUCAGUUGGUGUGUUAGGAGUUGUCCCACAUCGGUUGUGGGAGGGGUAUAAAGCUAGAAUAUGAGUAGUCAGAACAUUUCUAAGAUGUUUUAUUGGAGGUGUCCAAAAACAAAAUCGUGCGGAUAUCACACAUAGUAUCGUCGUGAUUUUAGAUUUACCAAUCCCGUCAUCAGUAGAAAAAACAACAUUUUAAAACCAUAACAAUGUUUUCAUAUGAUACAUGAAGAAGAUUUCCUGCGUGUGCCACAAGAGAUCCAGGAACAAGACAACAUUAACUCAGUGAUUACCGAGAGCGACUAGUAGGUCACUAGUCUUGCAAAGUAUCACUCAGUUUAAUAUAUCAUAACAGCUAAUCAGCUUGAGUGAUUUUGUCACCAAGCAAAUUAUUCUUAUAUUAUUAUACAUAUUUAUCUAUUUUGGACUACAAAUUUUAUUCAUUUCAGCCUGAAGUGCAGCAAUCGAGAUUCCCCGUCCAGCCCUUUUGAGUAGGAGUAUGAUAAAUAUUCUUGAGCUGUUGUUUCUCUAUACUUGGGAGGAUUAUCAUCUGAAACCAACUCUUUGAUAGGUCCAUAGAGCUUCGGAGAUGGCAUUAGACCAGUGCUAAAGAAGCAUGCUACUGAUACUCUCAGGCCAAUUUUGUUUGCAACGACUCUGUGCUCCACACUUUUAAAGCGAUCAUUCGUUAGAAGCUGAAAAAACAAUCAUUAAACAAGAAUGAGAAACCUGAACUUGUCUUCACUUCAAUCAUUCAAUGUACACUACACAACAUCUAAAUUCGCAAUACUUGCCUGUAGAAGAUCUCCGAUGUUAACUAUAAGUGUCCCCGGAAGAGGCGGAACAUCAAUCCAAUGAUCUUGGUGAAGAAUUUGUAGUCCACCAAUCUGAUCUUGAAGAAGUACAGUGAGGAAAUGAAAAUCAGUGUGUUUGGUGGUGCCUAAUGUCAGUUCUGGCUGCGGACAUGGGGGAUAGCAAUGACAGAACAAUUCAAGCCCCUUGGCACAUUCCAUAUCUUCUAGGUGAUUAAUGUCCAGUCCCAGAGCCUUGGAUAGUAAUCCAAAUAAAGUAAUCCCCAAUUUCAUUACUUGUUCUGAAAACUCUAUCUGGAUAUCUCUACAAAUUUUAAUCAUAAUGGUAAAUUAUAAGCUUCACUGGUAGGAAAAUAUAGGUCACAUUUAAGAUCCGGAAUUAUCAUAUCAAAAUUCAGCAUACCUGCAUGGUGCUGGCAAUUCCUCUGGUUGAGGAGGAGGAGCCAUAACACAGUAAAGUGUGUCCCUCCAAUCAGCUGCCGGUGCACUAAACAAAUAAAAAUUGCUAUAGUACACCACUUUUCUUGUAGAGUCACGCGUGUAAAACUCUUUCUUCACCUCAGUGUCUUGCUCAAAGAACCUACGUACUCCAUGAAGCAUCUCUUCUAAUACAUUCACUGGAAUCCCAUGAUUCACAACUUGGAAAACACCAAAUGUCUCAGAUGCACACCGCACUUUAUUAACUAUCUCUUGAUGACUCUCUUGAUCUUUAUCAAGGCCUUCAAGAUCGAUGACAGGAAUACAAAAAUCUUUGCACUUGUCACCUGAGUUAUUUUCAAAGACAUCAGGUGGAUGAAUGAAUAUAUCCGGAAUUUUCUUAACUCCAGCGUCUACUAGUCCUUUCACCCCGGCUUUGGUAUCAUCAAAAGCUUGUAAUUCAUUCUUCCGGUUGGAGUAAGAUCUGUGGGACUGUUCUGCUGCUUCCAUGGUAUUACCAGUGACCAUAAACAUCUUGUGUUAUGUGCAUUAUAUAUUGUAAUUGCUAUUAUUUCUUGCCACGCCAGUAGUUCAAAGAUAAAUAAUUGACAGCUGCAUCUAACAACUAGUUUCCCAAAGAUACUCAAAUGUGCAACUUGAAAGCUUCAUUUUGAUAUGUCAUACAUAAUUAGUAAAAGUUCAUCUCAGCAAGUCAUGCAUAAUUUGCAACAAUAACAAUGAUAUCUGCAUGUUUAUAGUUAUUUUUUCGAAUUGAAAAUGCAUGAAUUUGUCAUAUUUGGUGGCAAAUGGUUACAAGUUACAACUGGUGCCUAGUCCUCAUCCUUGUUAAAGCAAUUCUUGGCGAUAGUCUGAACUUCCUAGACACUAGUGAGGUAAUUGAGAGUUGUAAAUUAAUUCUUGGAAGUUUGUAUCGAGUUUUAGUUACGUUUAUUCAGGAAAGUGCUAGUAAGGUAGUCAGUAGUGUAGGAAGUAUAAAUGGAGAAAUUACGUAAAAUCAAAUAAUCAAUAAUAAUAUAACAGUAUAUAUUAGAGGCACUUGAAAACCACACUAUAUUUAAAACAAAUAAGCUCUUUCACAUGGUGUUUGAAGGUGUUGUUGCUUCCAUCUUCCAGGAUACAACGAAUAGAGGUGAUCUAAAGCACUAGAGACCCGCCUCCUACAAACCGAAAACUGAACAAAUAGUCUUCUAUCUCACAAGAACUGAACCCUGAACCUACAGCUCUAACAUGAAUGAGUACAAGAACGGUGGCUGUGCAAGGGGCGAACGCACGUAAAAUGAUGAGGAGAAAUUUGCUAACCAAAUUAAGAAAAUGUUUUUAUCCUUAAAUCAUUGUGAUAUAUUAUUUUGACAUUGUAUUACUUGUAACAAGUCAAAUAUAAAAAACAAAAAAAAAAUCCAGAGAAACAGAGUAAUCCAUAUACAUAUUGAACAUCCCCUUUACUAAUCAACUCCAAUAAUUUGACUACCAAACAAUCUAUUUGAAUCUUUAGAGCCUGAUCUGCAGUAAUGGAGGAAGCCAUUAAGCCCUUAUGAAUACGAGCACAUAAUGAGUUCCCCUUGAUCCAUAUCGAUAGCCUAGUUAAGCAACUUGAAAGCUGAUAGUGCAGAGGUUCCAUCGAGACCUUUGUUGUAAUAGUGUGUGACGAACUCUUUGAUUGUAAUUUCUCUGUAGCACGGCGGGUUUGUUUCAGAUAGCAACUCCUUGAUCGGGCUGUAUGACCUUGAUGCUGUUUUCUCCCAAAAAUGUGUUCUAAAGAAACUUGCCACUGAUAUUCUAGGGCCAAUCUUUUGUGCUAAUACUCUGUGGUUCACACUCUUGAAUUUGUCAUUGGUAAUGAGCUGCACAGAUAAAACAAGUUAAACAAUUUGUAAUCUAGUCAUAGUUUUGUACACAAUGAUCAGUAGUACUAACACAAAGUACCAAAGUGUUGUUAAUCUACCAGAUUAAACGAGUUUUUUAUGACAUAUAACAUCCCUUUACCUGUAAAAGGUCUGCAAUGUUUACUAUUAAAGAUCCGGGGACAUGAGGGAUAUCGAUCCACUCAUUGUCAUGAAUAACUUGGAGGCCGCCUAUGUUGUCUUGUAAGAGUAUGGUAAAAAACCCGCUAUCAGAGUGAUUGCUGGUGGCUAGAGUUAGUUCUGGUUCAGGGCAUGCAGGGUAGUAGUGACCAACUAGGAAAAGGCCUUCAGCACAAGCCAUGUCUUUCAAGUGAUUCCUAUUAAGUCCAAGAGCUUCUGAGAAUAGUUCCAACAGUGUAAUCCCCAUUUUCAUUAUGUACUCUGAGUAAUCAAACAUGAUGUCUCUGCAGUACAGGAUAAUGCACAAAAUCAAAAACCAAGAACUUGUCAAUAUUCAAAUAUUAUGUAUACUGUUUUUGAGUAUAUAUGAUACUACUCAAUUCUUAAAUAGAAUCGCGCAGAGGCAAAACUAAGCAAACAUUUAGUUUUCGACCUACUAAAAGAAGAACAAGUUUUUUCUAAUUGAGAUCAUAAAUGUACACAAAAACACGCAUAAAUCACAAGUCUUGACAUGUACCUGCACACUUCAGGCAUUUCCUCCAGCUGAGGAGGCUCCGGAGCCAUGUUACAGAAGAUAGUAUCCCUCCAGUUAGCUGCAGGUGCUUUAUAAAGAUCAAAAUUGCUAUUAUACAGAAACUUUUUUGUAAAAUCACGCGAAUAAAACAGCUUCUUCAGCUCAGUAUCUUGCUCAUGAAACUUACAAACUCCAUCGAUCAUUUCAUCCAGGACACUCUCUGGCACACCAUGAUUCACAACUCGAAAAAAUCCCCAGUUCUCACAAGCAUCUCUAACUUCUUUAACAACUCUGCCACGUGAACUCUCAUCGAUAUCGAUAUCCUUAAGGUCUAUGCUUGGAAAACCAGAUUUGCUGUGCCUUGAAGAUGGAAUUUGACUUAUUUGAGCUUGAUUAUGUACAAAUAUUCGAGGGAUUUUGGUGACACCGGAGUCUACAAGUCCCUUUACACC